CCAAAAGUCUAGCCUUACACCCACCCCCGCACUCACCCUCAAACUAAAAAUCAAAAUAUUUUAGCAACCUAGUAAAGAAGAUUAAAAAACUUUUAAGAGCAAUAAACACGUACCGCAAGGGAAAGAUGAAAUAAAAUGAAAUAAAUCUCAAGCACAAAGAAAUAGAGAUUUCCCCUCGUACCUUUUGCAUCAUGGUUUAGCUAGUCCAAUUAGGCAAAAAGCCCUAAGCCCUUUAAGUCUAACCCCCCGAAACUAAGUGAGCUAUUCUAGGGCUGCUUAUGAGCUAACCCGUCUAUGUUGAAAAAUAGUGGGAAGACCCUAAAAUAGAGGUGAAAAGCCUAACGAACUUAGUUAUAGCUGGUUUCUCAGGAAAAGAAUUUUAGUCCAACCUAAAGUAUACUUCAUAUGCACAAAUUACCCCCUUGCUUUAGAGCAAUUCAAAUAAGGUACAGCCUAUUUGAUACAGGACCCAACCUUAACUAACGGGUAACAUUCAAUUUACAUCUACAAGUAGGCCUAAAAGCAGCCACCUUUUAAAAAGCGUCAGAGCUUACCACGUUUAUUCAAAUCCCUCAGCCCACAUAGACCCCUUCAACUGUACUGAGAACUUCUAUAACACUAUAGAACCUUUUAUGCUAAAACUAGUAACAAGAGUUAACCCCUCUCCACAAUGCAAGUAUAAGCCAGCAAGAACCCACCACUGGCAACUAACAGACCUAAACAAAAGUAGCAACUACACCAGAAAACUCUACUUUACUUACUGUUAACCUUACACCAGAGCAUUUCAAGAAAGAUUAAAAGAAAAAGAAGGAACUCGGCAAACAUUAGCCCCGCCUGUUUACCAAAAACAUCGCCUCUUGCCCAUAUAAGAGGUCCAGCCUGCCCAGUGACUCUUGUUCAACGGCCGCGGUAUCCUAACCGUGCAAAGGUAGCGUAAUCACUUGUCUUCUAAAUAAAGACCAGUAUGAAAGGCAUCACGAGGGCUAAACUGUCUCCUUUCCCUAAUCAGUGAACCUAAUCUCCCCGUGAAGAAGCGGGGAUUAUUAUAUAAGACGAGAAGACCCUAUGGAGCUUUAAACAUCACAACACCUGCCUUACACUUUUAUCUACCCAGGUAUACCCUCCUACAGCACACUGAUUGUAUGUUUUCGGUUGGGGUGACCGCGGAGAAAAACUAAUCCUCCGCAAUGAAAGGGAUCUUCCCUAAACAAUAAGCCACAACUUUAUGUAUCCACAAAUUGACAUUCAUUGACCCAAUACACUUGAUUAACGAACCAAGUUACCCUAGGGAUAACAGCGCAAUCCACUUCAAGAGCCCCUAUCGACAAGUGGGCUUACGACCUCGAUGUUGGAUCGGGGUAUCCUGGUGGUGCAGCCGCUACUAAAGGUUCGUUUGUUCAACGAUUAAAACCC
Molecule: ribosomal RNA, 1413 nt
Filed under: Pristimantis peraticus
Lineage: Eukaryota; Metazoa; Chordata; Amphibia; Anura; Strabomantidae
Description: partial 16S ribosomal RNA
Rfam family: Bacterial large subunit ribosomal RNA
Source: RNAcentral